Molecule: ribosomal RNA, 469 nt
Filed under: uncultured bacterium
Lineage: Bacteria
Description: partial 16S ribosomal RNA
Rfam family: Bacterial small subunit ribosomal RNA
Source: RNAcentral
GACGAACGCUGGCGGCGUGCUUAACACAUGCGAGUCGAACGGAAAGGCCCUGCUUGCAGGGUGCUCGAGUGGCGAACGGGUGAGUAACACGUGGGUGAUCUGCCCCUUAUUUUGGGAUAAGCCUGGGAAACUGGGUCUAAUACUGGAUAGGACCAUGCUGUAGGUGGUGUGGUGGAAAGAUUAGUUUCGGUAAGGGAUGAGCUCGCGGCCUAUCAGCUUGUUGGUGGGGUAAUGGCCUACCAAGGCGUCGACGGGUAGCCGGCCUGAGAGGGUGGACGGCCACAUUGGGACUGAGAGACGGCCCAGAGUCCUACGGGAGGCAGCAGUGGGGAAUAUUGCACAAUGGGCGCAAGCCUGAUGCAGCGACGCCGCGGGGGGGAUGACGGCCUUCGGGCUGUAAACUCCUUUCAGCCAUGACGAAGCCCUUGUGGUGACGGUAGUGGUAGAAGAAGCACCGGCUAACUACGUG